Molecule: ribosomal RNA, 465 nt
Filed under: uncultured bacterium
Lineage: Bacteria
Description: partial 16S ribosomal RNA
Rfam family: Bacterial small subunit ribosomal RNA
Source: RNAcentral
GACGAACGCUGGCGGCGUGCUUAACACAUGCAAGUCGAACGGAAAGGCCCUGCUUGCAGGGUACUCGAGUGGCGAACGGGUGAGUAACACGUGGGUGAUCUGCCCUGCACUUCGGGAUAAGCCUGGGAAACUGGGUCUAAUACCGGAUAGGAGCCAUUUUUAGUGUGAUGGUUGGAAAGUUUUUUCGGUGUAGGAUGAGCUCGCGGCCUAUCAGCUUGUUGGUGGGGUAAUGGCCUACCAAGGCGGCGACGGGUAGCCGGCCUGGGAGGGUGGACGGCCACAAUGGGACUGGGAUACGGCCCAGACUCCGACGGGAGGCAGCAGGGGGGAAUAUUGCACAAUGGGCGCGAGCCUGAUGCAGCGACGCCGCGGGGGGGAGGACGGCCUUCGGGUUGGAAACGCCUUUCGCUAGGGACGAAGCUUUUUGUGACGGUACCGAGAUAAGAAGCACCGGCUAACUACGUG